AGAUUGAACGCUGGCGGCAGGCCUAACACAUGCAAGUCGAGCGGCAGCACGGGUACUUGUACCUGGUGGCGAGCGGCGGACGGGUGAGUAAUGCCUAGGAAUCUGCCUGAUAGUGGGGGAUAACGCUCGGAAACGGGCGCUAAUACCGCAUACGUCCUACGGGAGAAAGCAGGGGACCUUCGGGCCUUGCGCUAUCAGAUGAGCCUAGGUCGGAUUAGCUAGUUGGUGGGGUAAUGGCUCACCAAGGCGACGAUCCGUAACUGGUCUGAGAGGAUGAUCAGUCACACUGGAACUGAGACACGGUCCAGACUCCUACGGGAGCAGCAGUGGAGAAUAUUGGACAAGUGGGACGAAAGCCUGAUCCAGCCAUGCCGCGUGUGUGAAGAAGGUCUUACGGAUUGUAAAAGUCAACGUUUUAAGGUGGGAAGGAAGGGCUAAGUUUAACCGUAAAUUACGUUAAUCGUUGUUUUAGACGUUAACCGAC
Molecule: ribosomal RNA, 484 nt
Filed under: uncultured soil bacterium
Lineage: Bacteria
Description: bacterial SSU rRNA
Rfam family: Bacterial small subunit ribosomal RNA
Source: RNAcentral